RNAcentral lists this ribosomal RNA (231 nucleotides) under uncultured bacterium. RNAcentral's name for it is "partial 16S ribosomal RNA". It matches the Rfam family "Bacterial small subunit ribosomal RNA", at positions 103 to 334 of the family's 1533-position model. The record is from RNAcentral.
CGGGUGAGUAACACGUAUCCAACCUGCCGUCUACUCUUGGACAGCCUUCUGAAAGGAAGAUUAAUACAAGAUGGCAUCAUGAGUCCGCAUGUUCACAUGAUUAAAGGUAUUCCGGUAGACGAUGGGGAUGCGUUCCAUUAGAUAGUAGGCGGGGUAACGGCCCACCUAGUCUUCGAUGGAUAGGAGUUCUGAGAGGAAGGUCCCCCACAUUGGAACUGAGACACGGUCCAA